This 99-nucleotide signal recognition particle RNA is filed under the name Treponema sp. RNAcentral's name for it is "signal recognition particle sRNA small type". It matches the Rfam family "Bacterial small signal recognition particle RNA". Rfam says of the family: The signal recognition particle (SRP) is a universally conserved ribonucleoprotein involved in the co-translational targeting of proteins to membranes. Archaeal SRP consists of a 7S RNA and homologues of the eukaryotic SRP19 and SRP54 proteins. Lineage: Bacteria; Pseudomonadati; Spirochaetota; Spirochaetia; Treponematales; Treponemataceae. RNAcentral also lists the same sequence under 1 other name. The record is from RNAcentral.
GUUCAGGUGCUAUGCAAAUCAUCGCUGGAAAACCCCGCCAGAGGAGGAAUCCAGCAACGGUAUUCAGAUGAUGGUUGUGCCGUAGAUUACCUGAACUCU